UACGUAGGGGGCAAGCGUUGUCCGGAAUCAUUGGGCGUAAAGAGCGUGUAGGCGGCUCGGUAAGUCCGCUGUGAAAGUCUAGGGCUCAACCCUGGAAUGCCGGUGGAAACUGUCGGGCUAGAGUCCGGAAGAGGCGAGUGGAAUUCCUGGUGUAGCGGUGAAAUGCGCAGAUAUCAGGAAGAACACCCGUGGCUAAGGCGGCUCUCUAGUACGGUACUGACGCUGAGGCGCGAAAGCGUGGGGAGCAAACAGG
This 253-nucleotide ribosomal RNA is filed under the name uncultured bacterium. RNAcentral's name for it is "partial 16S ribosomal RNA". It matches the Rfam family "Bacterial small subunit ribosomal RNA", at positions 524 to 776 of the family's 1533-position model. The record is from RNAcentral.